CCUACGGGAGGCAGCAGUGAGGAAUAUUGGUCAAUGGGCGCGAGCCUGAACCAGCCAAGUAGCGUGAAGGAUGACUGUCCUCUGGGUUGUAAACUUCUUUUAUAUGGGAAUAAAAUGUUCCACGUGUGGGAUUUUGUAUGUACCAUAUGAAUAAGGAUCGGCUAACUCCGUGCCAGCAGCCGCGGUAAUACAGAGGCUUCGAGCGUUAUCCGGAUGUAUUGGGAUUAAAGGGAGCGUAGGUGGAUUGGUAAGUCAGUUGUGAAAGUUUGCGGCUCAACCGUAAAAUUGCAGUUGAAACUGGCAGUCUGGAGUACAGUAGAGGUGGGCGGAAUUCGUGGUGUAGCGGUGAAAUGCUUAGAUAUCACGAAGAACUCCGAUUGCGAAGGCAGCUCACUGGACUGCAACUGACACUGAGGCUCGAAAGUGUGGGUAUCAAACAGGAUUAGAUACCCCUGUAGUC
This 460-nucleotide ribosomal RNA is filed under the name uncultured bacterium. Its description in RNAcentral is "partial 16S ribosomal RNA". It matches the Rfam family "Bacterial small subunit ribosomal RNA", at positions 338 to 795 of the family's 1533-position model. The record is from RNAcentral.